UGACCGAUUCGGUUGAGGAAUGUGCAGA
This 28-nucleotide small RNA is filed under the name Bombyx mori (domestic silkworm). RNAcentral's name for it is "ovarian small RNA-31596". The record is from RNAcentral. Lineage: Eukaryota; Metazoa; Arthropoda; Insecta; Lepidoptera; Bombycidae.